CAGUAUUAUUAAUCACAAUGAAUAUGUUUAAAGAUUAUGUUUUACUAAGACGGGAGAAAUUAGACCUCAUGCAACUGAAAUAACUGAAGAACAAUUCUCCACUGGACUGGAAAACUGCUGACUCCACCUUGGAAAAAAUGUGUUCAGAAUCCUAAAUUGUACCUUCUUGUCGACAUUUUCUCUAACAGAAAUAGAUUUCUAUGUGCUGCCAAAGUGAUACACACUAAACACAUACUGGCAGGAAGAGAACCGGGCUCUAAUUAUGGUUCUGCUGCUGCUGCUGCUGCUGCUGCUAAGUCACUUCAGUCGUGACCGACUCUUCGAGACCCCAUAGACGGCAGCCCACCAGGCUCCCCCGUCCCUGGGAUUCUCCAGGCAAGAACACUGGAGUGGGUUGCCAUUUCCUUCUCCAAUGCAUGAAAGCGAAAAGUGAAAGUGAAGUUGCUCAGUCGUGUCGGACUCUUAGUGACCCCAUGGACUGCAGCCCACCAGGCUCCUCCGUCCAUGGGAUUUUCCAGGCAAGAGUACUGGAGUGGGGUGCCAUUGCCUUCUAAGAUCUCAGUUCAGUUCAGUUCAGUCGCUCAGUCGUGUCCGACUCUUUGCGACCCCAUGAAUCACAGCACACCAGGCCUCCCUGUCCAUCACCAACUCCCGGAGUUCACUCAGACUCACAUCCAUCGAGUCAGUGAUGCCAUCCAGCCAUCUCAUCCUCUGUCGUCCCCUUCUCCUCCUGCCCCCAAUCCCUCCCAGCAUCAGAG
Bos taurus (domestic cattle) is the source of this 758-nucleotide long non-coding RNA. Lineage: Eukaryota; Metazoa; Chordata; Mammalia; Artiodactyla; Bovidae. The record is from Ensembl.